Molecule: ribosomal RNA, 433 nt
Filed under: uncultured bacterium
Lineage: Bacteria
Description: partial 16S ribosomal RNA
Rfam family: Bacterial small subunit ribosomal RNA
Source: RNAcentral
AACGAACGCUGGCGGCAUGCCUAACACAUGCAAGUCGAACGAGACCUUCGGGUCUAGUGGCGCACGGGUGCGUAACGCGUGGGAACCUGCCCUUAGGUUUGGAAUAACUCCCCGAAAGGGGUGCUAAUACCGGAUCAUGUCUUCGGACCAAAGAUUUGUCGCCUUUGGAUGGGCCCGCGUUGGAUUAGCUGGUUGGUAGGGUAAAAGCCUACCAAGGCGACGAUCCAUAGCUGGUCUGAGAGGAUGGUCAGCCACACUGGGACUGAGACACGGCCGAGACUCCUACGGGAGGGAGCAGUGGGGAAUAUUGGACAGUGGGCGAAAGCCUGAUCGAGCAAGGCCGCGUGAGUGAUGAAGGCCUGAGGGUUGUAAAGCUCUUUUACCCGUGAUGAUAAUGACAGUACCGGGAGAAUAAGCUCCGGCUAACUCCGUG